CCUAAUGCUGAUUGCAUGAAAAAACUCAGUUUAGGGUUUAAAACCCUAAUGCUGGCUGAAUGGAAAAAGUUCAGUUUAGGGUUUAAAACCCUAAUACUGACUAAAGGAAAAAUUCAGUUUAGGGUUUAAGACCCUAAUGCUGAUUGCAUGGAAAAGCUCAGUUCAGGGUUUAAAACCCUAAUGCUGGCUGAAUGGAAAAAUUCAGUUUAGGGUUUAAAACCCUAAUGCUGAUUGCAUGGAAAAACUCAGCUUAGGGUUUAAAACCCUAAUGCUGGCAGAAUGGAAAAAGUUCAGUUUAGGGUUUAAAACCCUAAUGCUGACUAAAGGAAAAAGUUCAGUUUAGGGUUUUAAAACCCUAAUGCUGACUGAAAUGAAAAAAUUCAGUUUAGGGUUUAAAACCCUAAUGCUGAUUGCAUGGAAAAGCUCAGUUUAGGGUUUAAAACCCUAAUGCUGACUGAAAAGGAAAAUAGUUCAGUUUAGGGUUUAAAACCCUAAUGCUGACUAAAAGGAAAAUUCAGUUUAGGGUUUAAAACCCUAAUGUUGAUUGCAUGGAAAAGCUCAGUUUAGGGUUUAAAACCCUAAUGCUGGCUGAAUGGAAAAAUUCAGUUUAGGGUUUAAAACCCUAAUGCUGAUUGCAUGGAAAAACUCAGUUUAGGGUUUAAAACCCUAAUGCUGGCUGAAUGAAAAAGUUCAGUUUAGGGUUUAAAACCCUAAUGCUGACUGGAAUGAAAAUCUCAGUUUAGGGUUUAAAACCCUAAUGCUGAUUGCAUGGAAAAGCUCAGUUUAGGGUUUAAAACCCUAAUGCUGGCUGAAUGGAAAAAGUUCAGUUUAGGGUUUAAAACCCUAAGCUGACUAAAGGAAAAAUUCAGUUUAGGGUUUAAAACCCUAAUGCUGACUAAAGGAAAAAUUAAGUUUAGGGUUUAAAACCCUAAUACUGACUGGCUGGGGACAAAAUUCGAGAACAACAACUGACCUCUUUUUUUUUUUUGAAUUUUCUUGUUUUAGAAGAAGAUAAAAGGGAGUUUCGUGGAAACUUACCUUUCGAGUGAAUUCCUUAUUGCCAAAAUAUUUCUUGUACCCAUGUACCUUCUUCUUUGGGCGACACCUGCUUCUUGCGCGGUUGUCUUGGAUCAUACCUGUUUCAACUUUUCAGACAAAGAAUAAUUGUUAGUUCGGAAAUGACGGUCGGUUCGGUGACCUUGAUCGUUCCCGGUUGCUUUGUUGCGUCUUCAUUUCUGUUGCGAAAUCCCGCCAUUGAUUUGAUUCAUAUGUCGAAACCCUUUAGACU
Molecule: long non-coding RNA, 1288 nt
Filed under: Nicotiana tabacum (common tobacco)
Lineage: Eukaryota; Viridiplantae; Streptophyta; Magnoliopsida; Solanales; Solanaceae
Description: long non-coding RNA (NTAB_LNC005321)
Source: RNAcentral